CCUACGGGAGGCAGCAGUGAGGAAUAUUGGUCAAUGGGCGCGAGCCUGAACCAGCCAAGUAGCGUGAAGGAUGACUGCCCUACGGGUUGUAAACCUCUUUUAUAAAGGAAUAAAGUGAGGCACGUGUGCCUUUUUGUAUGUAUCUUAUGAAUAAGGAUCGGCUAACUCCGUGCCAGCAGCCGCGGUAAUACGGAGGAUCCGAGCGUUAUCCGGAUUUAUUGGGUUUAAAGGGAGCGUAGAUGGGUUGUUAAGUCAGUUGUGAAAGUUUGCGGCUCAAACGUAAAAUUGCAAUUGAUACUGGCAGCCUUGAGUACGGUAGAGGUAGGCGGAAUUCGUGGUGGAGCGGUGAAAUGCAUAGAUAUCACGAAGAACUCCGAUUGCGAAGGCAGCCUACUAGACUGCCACUGACAUUGAUGCUCGAAAGUGUGGGUAUCAAACAGGAUUAGAUACCCGAGUAGUC
RNAcentral lists this ribosomal RNA (460 nucleotides) under uncultured bacterium. Its description in RNAcentral is "partial 16S ribosomal RNA". It matches the Rfam family "Bacterial small subunit ribosomal RNA", at positions 338 to 795 of the family's 1533-position model. The record is from RNAcentral.